GUUUGGGGAGCUAAGCUGUCCCUGCCUCCCUCAUCAUUUGAAUGGUGAACACUCAUAAAACUGAGUUCAGCAUUGUGUCUCUCUUUAUGUUUAUACUCUGAACAAGGCUGGAGAUACUUCAGCUCCAGUCUGUACUACAUCUCCACUGAGAAGAAGAGCUGGAGUGAGAGCAGACAGUUCUGCAGAGAGAGAGGAGCAGACCUGCUGAUCAUAAACAGCAGAGAAGAACAGGAAUUCAUCAGUAAAGAAUUUGGCAGUACUGAAGCUUGGAUUGGUCUGACGGACAUGAAGAAAGAAGGGGUCUGGAAAUGGGUGGACGGCUCAGCACUGACCAUUAAGUUCUGGUUUAAGGGGGAGCCCAAUGAUUAUGAAGGAGAUGAGGACUGUGCUGUAACUGGCUAUAAAGGUUCUGGAUCUGAACGUGUAUCAACCUGGGCUGAUUAUCGCUGUACCUGGGCUGAAUACCCUUUAGUUGGAAUCUGUGAAAGUAAAUGGCAGAAACUGUUUUCUUUUUCAUUCAUGAAAUAAUGGAAUACAAUAAUUGCUAUUCAUCAUCGUGUUUAUUGAUCAGUUUCAACUAUUUAAACUUUAUAAUGAUCAGGAAAAGUUCUCAGUGUUUUCUGUUUAUUGAAUAAAAAGACAUAAGAUAAAAUAUUAUAGGCAAUUUAGCUUAGAAACUCAGGUUAUAGGAGUCCAGAUAGGCUAACAUGACAGUACAGCACAGUAUGAUUACAUGAGUUCCUGUGCCUAAUUUUGUUACUAUUUUUGCCAGGUUAGCAAGUGUGACACGGCUUUUGUCAUAACCAGUUUAGACAGGAACAGUUAUCUGUCCGAGUAACACAACAGCUACCAAACACACUGAGCAGCGUUUGAUUGAAGUCUGUUUGAAGGUUUUUCUGACUUCAAAUGUAAAUCAUUGUCUAUCUUUUCUUUCUCUUGCAGUUAAAGCUGACGUUACUAAGAAGGUGUCAGACUGAUCAGCAACUCAGCUCAGCCAGUUAUUUACUCUUCCUGAUGAGGCCCAAGCCCUAUCACAACAAUGCUACCUGCUGCAGAAUGGAAUCUAGAGUUGUGCUGAUGACUUCUGUUUUAUAUUGCUUAAAGCAUUCACUACAUGUUCUAGCAGCAAUGCUACUAGCAUGUAUGUUAGCACCAAAAUACUGCUAUACUUCAAUGCAUAUUUUUGCUUUUAAAAAAUUGGUGUGGCUUUUUGGUCACGUCAGCAAUGCUGGACAACAAAUAAAGUGCUUGACCACUCAAAGAUAUAAAACAAAACUGUUCAUAUUUCAUUUUUAACUUACCUGUUUAUCUGAAAACACAACUUUGUCAUCACUCUGAACUCCUCUGUCCUUCAUGAGGGUUUUCCAGCUGAAAAACAUGACACCAUUGUUUACCCCAGUUAUUUGCUGAUGCUGGUCUCUUAGUUUUCUUCCUUUGUUUUCUUGCAUUUUUAUGUGGCCUCAUGUUACUCGCUGCUGACUCCCCAUCGUUUCUGCUUGUAGAGUGUAGUGAUGAUGCUCCAUGAUCAUUAUUUCUGUUCAGUAUUCAGCAACACACAGCUCACCUGUCAGGUACUGCUUUGGAUUAUCUAGGGGAAACUGACUAGCAUAGCCUUAGCAGCUUUAACCAAUGAGUCUAUGUCAGGGAAGAACAACUCUUGUCCUGGAGGGCUGGUGUCCAGCACAGUUUGGAGGUUUCCCUACUCAAACACACCCACUAAACCUUUAAAUUAACAGAUGAGUGUAAUCAGGUGUG
Molecule: long non-coding RNA, 1755 nt
Organism: Colossoma macropomum (tambaqui)
Lineage: Eukaryota; Metazoa; Chordata; Actinopteri; Characiformes; Serrasalmidae
Exons: 3
Source: RefSeq, a predicted model, not a curated record